This is a long non-coding RNA of Hibiscus syriacus, 128 nucleotides long. RefSeq lists it as uncharacterized. The record is from RefSeq and is a predicted model, not a curated record. The transcript has 3 exons. Lineage: Eukaryota; Viridiplantae; Streptophyta; Magnoliopsida; Malvales; Malvaceae.
GAUGUCUCAGCCAUCUCGUGUUGUUAUCAUCUUCUGCAAGAUGAAUGGUAUAGACUAUGAGGAGAUCAAAGUACAUAUCUCAAAGGGUCAUCAUUUAACUUCUGAAUUUGCAGAAAUAAAUCCCAUGA